This 1714-nucleotide ribosomal RNA is filed under the name Burkholderia ubonensis. RNAcentral's name for it is "bacterial LSU rRNA". It matches the Rfam family "Bacterial large subunit ribosomal RNA", at positions 1222 to 2925 of the family's 2925-position model. The record is from RNAcentral. Lineage: Bacteria; Pseudomonadati; Pseudomonadota; Betaproteobacteria; Burkholderiales; Burkholderiaceae.
CGCAUGGUAGGAGAGCGUUCCGUAAGCCUGCGAAGGUGCCUUGUAAAGGGUGCUGGAGGUAUCGGAAGUGCGAAUGCUGACAUGAGUAGCGAUAAAGGGGGUGAAAGGCCCCCUCGCCGUAAGCCCAAGGUUUCCUACGCAACGUUCAUCGGCGUAGGGUGAGUCGGCCCCUAAGGCGAGGCAGAAAUGCGUAGCUGAUGGGAAGCAGGUCAAUAUUCCUGCACCGUCGUUAGAUGCGAUGGGGGGACGGAUCGCGGAAGGUUGUCCGGGUGUUGGAAGUCCCGGUCGCUGCAUUGGAGAAGGCGCUUAGGCAAAUCCGGGCGCAGGAUUCAAGGGUGUGGCGCGAGCGACUUAGGUCGCGAAGCAAUUGGAAGUGGUUCCAAGAAAAGCCUCUAAGCUUCAGUCUAACGAUGACCGUACCGCAAACCGACACAGGUGGGCGAGAUGAGUAUUCUAAGGCGCUUGAGAGAACUCGGGAGAAGGAACUCGGCAAAUUGGUACCGUAACUUCGGGAUAAGGUACGCCCUUGUAGCUUGACCAGCCUGCGCUGGAAGGGUGAAGGGGUUGCAAUAAACUGGUGGCUGCGACUGUUUAAUAAAAACACAGCACUCUGCAAACACGAAAGUGGACGUAUAGGGUGUGACGCCUGCCCGGUGCCGGAAGAUUAAAUGAUGGGGUGCAAGCUCUUGAUUGAAGUCCCGGUAAACGGCGGCCGUAACUAUAACGGUCCUAAGGUAGCGAAAUUCCUUGUCGGGUAAGUUCCGACCUGCACGAAUGGCGUAACGAUGGCCACACUGUCUCCUCCCGAGACUCAGCGAAGUUGAAGUGUUUGUGAUGAUGCAAUCUACCCGCGGCUAGACGGAAAGACCCCAUGAACCUUUACUGUAGCUUUGCAUUGGACUUUGAACCGAUCUGUGUAGGAUAGGUGGGAGGCUAUGAAACCGGAACGCUAGUUUCGGUGGAGCCGUCCUUGAAAUACCACCCUGGUUUGUUUGAGGUUCUAACCUUGGCCCGUGAUCCGGGUCGGGGACAGUGCAUGGUAGGCAGUUUGACUGGGGCGGUCUCCUCCCAAAGCGUAACGGAGGAGUACGAAGGUACGCUAGGUACGGUCGGAAAUCGUGCUGAUAGUGCAAUGGCAUAAGCGUGCUUAACUGCGAGACCGACAAGUCGAGCAGGUGCGAAAGCAGGUCAUAGUGAUCCGGUGGUUCUGUAUGGAAGGGCCAUCGCUCAACGGAUAAAAGGUACUCUGGGGAUAACAGGCUGAUACCGCCCAAGAGUUCAUAUCGACGGCGGUGUUUGGCACCUCGAUGUCGGCUCAUCUCAUCCUGGGGCUGUAGCCGGUCCCAAGGGUAUGGCUGUUCGCCAUUUAAAGAGGUACGUGAGCUGGGUUUAAAACGUCGUGAGACAGUUUGGUCCCUAUCUGCCGUGGGCGUUGGAUAUUUGAAGGGGGCUGCUCCUAGUACGAGAGGACCGGAGUGGACGAACCUCUGGUGUACCGGUUGUGACGCCAGUCGCAUCGCCGGGUAGCUAUGUUCGGAAGAGAUAACCGCUGAAAGCAUCUAAGCGGGAAACUCGCCUUAAGAUGAGAUAUCCCUGGAGGCUUGACCUCCUUGAAGGGUCGUUCGAGACCAGGACGUUGAUAGGUCAGGUGUGUAAGCGCAGUAAUGCGUUCAGCUAACUGAUACUAAUUGCCCGUAAGGCUUGAUCCUAUAAC